RNAcentral lists this ribosomal RNA (497 nucleotides) under uncultured bacterium. Its description in RNAcentral is "partial 16S ribosomal RNA". It matches the Rfam family "Bacterial small subunit ribosomal RNA", at positions 28 to 507 of the family's 1533-position model. The record is from RNAcentral.
GAUGAACGCUGGCGGCGUGCCUAAUACAUGCAAGCCGAGCGAACGGACGAGAAGCUUGCUUUUCUGAUGUUAGCGGCGGACGGGUGAGUAACACGUGGAUAACCUACCUAUAAGACUGGGAUAACUUCGGGAAACCGGAGCUAAUACCGGAUAAUAUUUUGAACCGCAUGGUUCAAAAGUGAAAGACGGUCUUGCUGUCACUUAUAGAUGGAUCCGCGCUGCAUUAGCUAGUUGGUAAGGUAACGGCUUACCAAGGCAACGAUGCAUAGCCGACCUGAGAGGGUGAUCGGCCACACUGGAACUGAGACACGGUCCAGACUCCUACGGGAGGCAGCAGUAGGGAAUCUUCCGCAAUGGGCGAAAGCCUGACGGAGCAACGCCGCGUGAGUGAUGAAGGCCUUCGGAUCGUAAAACUCUGUUAUUAGGGAAGAACAUAUGUGUAAGUAACUGUGCACAUCUUGACGGUACCUAAUCAGAAAGCCACGGCUAACUACGUG